This 274-nucleotide ribosomal RNA is filed under the name uncultured bacterium. Its description in RNAcentral is "partial 16S ribosomal RNA". It matches the Rfam family "Bacterial small subunit ribosomal RNA", at positions 523 to 796 of the family's 1533-position model. The record is from RNAcentral.
AUACGGAGGGGGCAAGCGUUGUUCGGAAUUACUGGGCGUAAAGGGCGCGUAGGCGGAUUAUCAAGUCAGAGGUGAAAGCCCUGGGCUCAACCUGGGAACUGCCUAUGAAACUGAUAGUCUUGAGGCCGGAAGAGGAUGGCGGAAUUCCCAGUGUAGAGGUGAAAUGCGUAGAUAUUGGGAAGAACACCAGUGGCGAAGGCGGCCAUCUGGUCCGGUUCUGACGCUGAGGCGCGAAAGCGUGGGGAGCAAACAGGAUUAGAAACCCCAGUAGUCC